UGUGUGGCCACCAAUCAGCUUGGUGAUCAAACAUCCUCAGAGAUCCAUCUGACUAUAGGAGGUAACUAAUAAAGGUGAAGUUGAUCAUCUUCCAUUGGGUGCAGUUCUUGGAGGAAUCCUUGGGAUCAUCGUGCUCAUCGGCCUGGUUGUCUUUGUUUGGCGUUUGAAGUCUCCACAUCCAACUGCACAUCAGAGUCAGAAUCAGCCUGUUGGAGAGACAGUGACAACAGAAGAAGGAGACGUCCACUAUGGAGAGAUUAACUUCUCGGGGCUCAGAUCUGGACCGUCCUCGGUCUCGGAGCAGGACGGUGGACAGCAGGAGGACACGCUGUAUGCGCUGGUCAAAGUGUCCAAGGCAGCAGACAACGUCACACGGACUGCUGGCGUCCCAGAGGAUCUCUACGCUCAAGUGAAGAGAAAAUGAGCCGUUUCUUGUGGUCACAUUUGAGUUUUAUUGUUAAGAUGCUCUUUACAUAAAUAACUAGCUUCAUCUGUCAGUUUAUGGAGAAAAAGAAUCGUGAGAAAAUAAUCUUCACUGCUUACAGUUAAAGAGGAACUUCAAACAUCCACACCCUGCAGCUCAGAUCGUUUUAGCAAUUAAUACUUUUUUUUACACCUUUAUUUUAUCAGAUGAGUACAAAUAAAUGUCCCAUGGCUCUAAAUAGAAAAAUAUUGUAAAAGCGCUGUUCAUACAUCAAUAUGUGCUAUAAUAUUAACUUUUUAUGUUUGGAAUUGAGUUUUUAUUUUUACAAGGCUUCAUUAAACUUUAUGAAGUUUUUUUUCACAUAUUUUGCAUCAACCAUGUUUUAUUAUACUAUUUCUUCUUCAAAAGACAAUUACGUAAUAAAAACCAUAUACACGA
Non-coding RNA from Gasterosteus aculeatus aculeatus (three-spined stickleback), 862 nucleotides. NCBI's taxonomy places the organism in Eukaryota, Metazoa, Chordata, Actinopteri, Perciformes, Gasterosteidae. The record is from RefSeq and is a predicted model, not a curated record.